AUAAAACUGUCAGACAUGGAAAAAUUAGCUCAGGGAAGAAGUCUAUGAAGGAUUGGAGACGUCAUCAAGAUGGUGGUGAUAGCAAUGGAUACAGAAGCUAUGAUAGGUUUCAUCACUGAGGAGGCCUGCUUGAUCAAGCAAUUUCCGAGCAUCCAUCUCUCAUAGUCGUAGAGCAGCAGCAAUUAGGAAUCACAGAGACGAUCCAUGCUCACAUCCAUGAUGCGAAUGCUUCUUCCUCGAGUUUCUAGUAAUUGUGCAAUUACAAUUAUGGCGAUAAUAUUGCUUCUCAAAAAAUAGAUCAGGGAAACUUACCAGUUAGACCUUUAGCCAGGAACCUUGAUGCUCUGCCCCGGAUCUUUCCUUGGUGGGACUGGCGGGGUGGAAUUGGUGCUUCAAGCUCUUAUUGCUAAGUGCAUGAUUGAUCAUCAGUCUGCCUUGGAAUCCUCUGAACCAUGGCCGAGUAGCAGUGUCAAAAUGCUCAUCGCUUAUGGU
This 492-nucleotide long non-coding RNA is filed under the name Coffea arabica (coffee). RNAcentral's name for it is "long non-coding RNA (CARA_LNC003591)". The record is from RNAcentral. Lineage: Eukaryota; Viridiplantae; Streptophyta; Magnoliopsida; Gentianales; Rubiaceae.